Molecule: non-coding RNA, 2288 nt
Organism: Chrysemys picta bellii (western painted turtle)
Lineage: Eukaryota; Metazoa; Chordata; Testudines; Emydidae
Source: RefSeq, a predicted model, not a curated record
UCUUCUUUGCAGCCAAACUAGUCUAACCUGCCUUUUGUUAACUGGAACUGGAGCAAUAAAACAAAGAAAAUAAAUGCCUCAUUUUCCGGCUUUGUGGGUGAGAGAACAAUAAGUGAAGAUUAUAAUGCUGGAAACUGACAGGCUUCAACCAGCUGCCUCAGGAAUCUGCCAAGAACUUUGCUGAAAAUAUGUUCCUCAUCUUAGCAACGGAGCUGACUUAUCACACAUCUGCCCACCUUUAUUCGAAUGACGCUCUUGAUCUGAGAGCUCAGGCAUUGUCAGUUUCAUCCAGAACAAUUUACAAACUUGGAACCUAAUCCUGUAAACCCUUAAUCAUUUGAUCAAUCCCAUUGAAGACAAAUGGGACUACUUGCAUGACUAUGGACCACUUUUGUGAACGGGACUGGCCAUAUCCAGAGAGAUGGUGGCAGGCCGUGGUGCUGGAACAUGCCAGGUCAUCAUCACCACUCCCAUGGAGAUGCUGACAAUCCAACUACAGGAAUCAGAGAGAGUAGGGAUGUUUCCUUCUCCAUCAUCUACUUUCCAUUAUUUGCACAUUUGAACAGAGGAGGACAGGAGUCUCUGGAUGACAGAGCCCCAGUUUAUCAGUUAUUUCUAGCUGGUUAUGUGGCUGGCUCUGUGGCAGCAGUCUGUGUCAAUCCGUGUGAUGGAAAAUUUGAUGGAAGGAGGGUCCCUCUGCCUUCCUGAGAGGGGCUGGCUGCAGAGCAUUAGUCACUGCUCCUCUCUUUGGUAUCCCAAGUCAUUUACUUUAUUGGAGUAGGGGAGUUCCUUGUUGAGCUUUCCCAAUAUGGCAGAUUUUCAUCCUAACUCCUCAUGCCAUGGACAUGUUGGAACAGAACCUGCAAGAAUCAUCGAUAUAGAGAGGACCCAAGAAACAAAUGGCAACUCAGAUUGAUUUACUUACAUUCUUAGUGAAUCUGGGGUUCCCUGAAUACACUGUUACUAAUCAACUAAAGUUAAUGGAAAGUUGGGACAACGUAUCCCCUGGGCUGCUGCUCAGUGUUGCACCCCAGCUUGGGGAUGCUGUACGUCUCCUUUUCAUGGCAUUUCCUAUUAUCCGUUUGCACCAAGAGUCAGACUUGUGACACCAACAACCAGUGCAGUACAGGAGUCUGCAUAUUGUUAGUGUAUGAUAAUGUCUCCCAGUGCUAAGGGUUCUAAGAGACAUAAAUCUCUAUAUGUGAAACAACCAUUGCUGCUUUACUGAAUUUUGUGUACUUUUCAGAGGGUAGCAUGCUCAGACAUUAGGGGUAGUUGAUUUGGAACUUCAGUAGGUGGUGGAAUUUAAUGGGGCAGGUUAAAGACUUCAGUCUUACAUGGAGGUUAAGGACAUGCUGUUGAAGGAAUAUAUAUAUAUAUAUAUUUAUUUAAUGAAGGGAACAUGAACAACACAUUUUCUAAUGGGUUUGGAGCCAAGUCUUUCUCUAUUAGCUGCACUUGAUUAUCCAGCUACCGGACUAGAAAGGUCUGUCUUGGUAUUUCUCUUUGUUCUCUGUUCCAUCAAUGCUGUUUCAUUAAUUCACUCUUUACAAUUAAUUGGGAACAGAAGGCUAUGGCUUAUAAAAAGUCAUAGUUUACAACUUGGAGCAUUUCCUUGUAAAGAAGGUGGUUGCUUUGGUGACUGCUAAAAACAGAAGCCAUUUCAGACCAUACAUGCAUAGUAGGCAAACUAUCCUAGAUAGGCACUCAGUAUGAAAUUCAUCCUGUACAAGGCCUACUUAUCACUUACAAUAUGGGUUCUAGAGUGAGCCCCAAAUGGAUUUUGUAUGCUCAGAAACCCUAAUUGUUCAGCAGACAUAGGUGCUACUUGAACUUGUUAGCAUAACUCACUCCAUACUUGAACUUCUCAGCAAUAAAAGACCAGUUCUUCCCUCAAACAAACAUACAGUGCAACCACUGAAUUUGCUAGGAGCUGCACCUGAGGAUAAAACUGGAUCAGGAGUUUUUAACCAUGUUAAAAUAUUACCUUUGAUUAUAUUUAGCCAGUUCUUUUCCUUGGCAGUGAGCUCAUGUAAUGGCUGAUCCCAGUUUUUUCUUUGUUGUUUGCAGAGGAAUAAACUGGUCAGUAUCUUUGGCCCCUUCCCCAAAUCCAUUGUGUGCAGUCUGCAAUUUAAAUGUAUAUGGUGCAAGGAAAGCUUGAAGCCCUCUAUGACAUUAAUGGCAACUUUGUAGAAGCCAUCCGUACCCUGUGCCUGCCAUACCACCUUGCAGCAAAAGCUAGUGAUCCUUCUGUAUUAAUGAAGCAUAUUUUUUCUUUGCUGCAGCCC